GCUCUGCGCAGGCGCACUCGGUAGGCCGCGCGGCGCGGGCAAGCUGAGUCAGGGUGGCCAGGCCACCGCUCCACGCGUGGCAGGGUGGAGGGGCGGCCUCGCGGAAAGCCGCACCCGGGGAGGGCCGGAGCCUGCGUCGCAGAGGGGCCGCCGCGAGAUAAUUGGUGUUGAUGUGUUGUUGGUUUUGUUCUCAUUAAACUCAUGGCCCGCGGUAAGUCUUGCUGAACCCGGCCUGCCCGCCGCUGCUCUCCGUGAGGUGCAUCGCAGCCUCCUGGUACUUAGGAAACUGGACAGCACUUAAGCGCCGGCUUGAAGGCCACUUGAAACCACAAGAUCGCCACCAAAACACAAAAAUACGGAGUCGUAACACUAAAUAGGCUGUGGAACAGAAGCUUCCUUAACCACAUCAGAACUGAAACACGAAAGAAGGCAGGUGUCGUCGCCUUGUCCCACCUCAGCUGGAAGUAUGUUCCUCGGGCAACUCAAGUCUUUUGCCACUCCGCACAAGUUGGCCAAUAACUGCUGAAGUACCGCAAAUACUGAUUUUGGAGUUACAAGUAAAUUUGGCAGAUAGGCAAGUUCACAAACGUGGAAUCCACAAAUAACAAGAAUCAGGUGUGUGUGUGUGUGUAUUUGUACGUGUACAUGCCCAUUUUCCUUGGUCUUUUUCUGAGCCAUUUGAGAAUAUGCUAUAGACCCGGUUACCCAUCACCUCCAAA
Long non-coding RNA from Canis lupus familiaris (dog), 719 nucleotides. RefSeq lists it as uncharacterized. Lineage: Eukaryota; Metazoa; Chordata; Mammalia; Carnivora; Canidae. The record is from RefSeq and is a predicted model, not a curated record. The transcript has 2 exons.